CAGCCGCCGCGGGAAUACGUAGGUGGCAAGCGUUGUCCGGAAUUAUUGGGCGUAAAGGGCUCGCAGGCGGUUUCUUAAGUCUGAUGUGAAAGCCCCCGGCUCAACCGGGGAGGGUCAUUGGAAACUGGGAAACUUGAGUGCAGAAGAGGAGAGUGGAAUUCCACGUGUAGCGGUGAAAUGCGUAGAGAUGUGGAGGAACACCGGUGGCGAAGGCGACUCUCUGGUCUGUAACUGACGCUGAGGAGCGAAAGCGUGGGGAGCGAACAGGAUUAGAUACCCCCGUAGUCCCUGUCUCUUAUAC
Molecule: ribosomal RNA, 301 nt
Filed under: uncultured bacterium
Lineage: Bacteria
Description: partial 16S ribosomal RNA
Rfam family: Bacterial small subunit ribosomal RNA
Source: RNAcentral